GACUCAUCAUUGGCUUGAGAAUGACACUCUCCUCUGUUUGAAGAAGGUUGAGGAUGGAAUCGGGGGUGAGGAGGUGAGGACACUACCUAGAGAGAGCUCCUGUGAGGAUGAAAAAGAAAAAACUCUUCAGGAGCAAGCAGGAAGAGAAACAUUCACUGCUAAGAAGGUUCAGGUUCCCUCCAAUUUCUCUUCCUCCUGGUUCCCAGGAUCUGGCCUAAUUUGUGCUGGUGAGGAAGGAAAAAGAGGGCUGAGACUACCCUCAAGAGGUGCCAACGUUCAGAAGAACAACAAUGCUGUAUUAAGAAAUAUCCCCUCCAGCCCUGGCUGGUAUGGCUUGAUGGAUUAAACACUGGCCUGUGAACUGAAAGGUCACUGGUUUGAUUCCCGGUCUGGGCACAUGCCUGGGUUGCAGGCCAGGUCCCU
Molecule: long non-coding RNA, 423 nt
Organism: Phyllostomus hastatus (greater spear-nosed bat)
Lineage: Eukaryota; Metazoa; Chordata; Mammalia; Chiroptera; Phyllostomidae
Exons: 3
Source: RefSeq, a predicted model, not a curated record